CGCUGGCGGCAUGCCUAAUACAUGCAAGUCGAGCGAAUGAUGAAGAAGCUUGCUUCUCUAAUUAGCGGCGGACGGGUGAGUAACACGUGGGCAACCUACCCUAUAGAUUGGGAUAACACAGGGAAACCUGUGCUAAUACCGAAUAAUACCUUUCUCUUCAUGGAGGAUGGUUGAAAGAUGGUUUCGGCUAUCACUAUAGGAUGGGCCCGCGGCGCAUUAGCUAGUUGGUGAGGUAAUGGCUCACCAAGGCAACGAUGCGUAGCCGACCUGAGAGGGUGAUCGGCCACACUGGGACUGAGACACGGCCCAGACUCCUACGGGAGGCAGCAGUAGGGAAUCUUCCACAAUGGGCGAAAGCCUGAUGGAGCAAUGCCCGCGUGAGUGAUGAAGGAUUUCGGUUCGUAAAACUCUGUUGUAAGGGAAGAACAAGUAGCGUAGUAACUGGCGUUACCUUGACGGUACCUUAUUAGAAAGCCACGGCUAACUACGUGCCAGCCGCCGC
RNAcentral lists this ribosomal RNA (502 nucleotides) under uncultured bacterium. RNAcentral describes it as "bacterial SSU rRNA". It matches the Rfam family "Bacterial small subunit ribosomal RNA", at positions 34 to 518 of the family's 1533-position model. The record is from RNAcentral.